This 72-nucleotide transfer RNA is filed under the name Fukomys damarensis (Damara mole-rat). It matches the Rfam family "tRNA". From Rfam's summary of the family: Transfer RNA (tRNA) molecules are approximately 80 nucleotides in length. Lineage: Eukaryota; Metazoa; Chordata; Mammalia; Rodentia; Bathyergidae. The record is from Rfam by way of RNAcentral.
GGGCAUGUUGCUUAGUGGUAAAGCAUUUGCCUACCAUGCAUGAGGCCCUGGGUUCGAUCCUCAGCAUUGCUA